Molecule: ribosomal RNA, 425 nt
Filed under: uncultured bacterium
Lineage: Bacteria
Description: bacterial SSU rRNA
Rfam family: Bacterial small subunit ribosomal RNA
Source: RNAcentral
GUGGGGAAUCUUGCGCAAUGGGCGAAAGCCUGACGCAGCCAUGCCGCGUGAAUGAUGAAGGUCUUAGGAUUGUAAAAUUCUUUCACCGGGGACGAUAAUGACGGUACCCGGAGAAGAAGCUCCGGCUAACUUCGUGCCAGCAGCCGCGGUAAUACGAAGGGGGCUAGCGUUGCUCGGAAUUACUGGGCGUAAAGGGCGCGUAGGCGGACAGCUUAGUCAGAGGUGAAAGCCCAGGGCUCAACCUUGGAAUUGCCUUUGAUACUGACUGUCUUGAGUUUGGGAGAGGUGAGUGGAACUCCGAGUGUAGAGGUGAAAUUCGUAGAUAUUCGGAAGAACACCAGUGGCGAAGGCGACAUACUGGUCCAUUACUGACGCUGAGGCUCGAAAGCGUGGGGAGCAAACAGGAUUAGAAACCCGGGUAGUCC